GUGCAGAAAGUCAACUGACUCCUAAGGUAUCCUUUGAAUAAAGCAUACAUACUGCUGCUUAAAAAAAAAAUAAGUUGGCCGGGCAAGGUGGCUCACAUCUGUAAUCCCAGCACUUUGGGAAGCUGAGGUGGGUGGAUCAUGAGGUCGAGAGAUCGAGACCAUCCUGGCCAACAUGGUGAAACCCUGUCUCUACUAAAAAUACAAAAAUUAGUUGGGAGUGGUGAUGCGUGCCUGUAGUCCCCGCUACUCAGGAAGCUGAGGCAGGAGAGUCACUUGAACCCAGGAGGCGGAGGUUGCAGUGAACUGAGAUCGUGCCACUGCACUUCAGCCUGGGGACAGAGCAAGACUUCGUCAAAAAAAAAAAAAAAAGUUGCUGGAAACCAUUUAUCAUUGAUAUAAUGAAAUGAAAUUUUGGGUUAGAAAAGUGGGCUGGGGAUCCCUACUGGACGAAUGUGAGCAGAUCUGGUCUCUUGCCGAUUCUCAGAUGUGCACCUGGGUACCCAGGGAAAGAAAGCCGUGAAAAGGAGCUGGAAACUGGUCUUAAGAUGUUUAACCAAACUAAGAUUUGUGUAAGUGAACAGGGGUCAAAAAAGGUCUCCUUUUCUUGUUUUGUUUCACAGCGUGUAACUUAUGAGUGUGUGUCUGUGUGUUCUCUUAUUAACAUGUAAGACUUCUGUGCU
Molecule: long non-coding RNA, 680 nt
Filed under: Pan troglodytes (chimpanzee)
Lineage: Eukaryota; Metazoa; Chordata; Mammalia; Primates; Hominidae
Description: long non-coding RNA NONPTRT015542
Source: RNAcentral